GAAGAGAACCUCGUCGCCGGUCCUUGCCUGGAGUCUCGCAGCCAUCCGGUGAGGCGCGUGAUCUCACGCACUGAUAGAAGGUUUUCGCCUCAUGUAUAUACGCCGGCUCGUGAGCUUGUUUCUUAUCAAUUUUUCGGUUGCACUUGUUUCUGACAACAUUCCUAAUGUACCGCGCCUCUGCUCAACCCCUUCCUAUCUAUUGGUUUGCAAUUUUGUUUUUGG
RNAcentral lists this unclassified non-coding RNA (222 nucleotides) under Hevea brasiliensis (rubber tree). The record is from RNAcentral. Lineage: Eukaryota; Viridiplantae; Streptophyta; Magnoliopsida; Malpighiales; Euphorbiaceae.